GAAAGUUACGCUAAUACCGCAUAUUCUGUGAGCAGGGAAANCAGGGGGACCGCAAGGCCUUGCGCUUCUUUGAGCGGCCGAUGUCAGAUUAGCUAGUUGGUGAGGUAAAGGCUUACCAAGGCGACGAUCUGUAGCGGGUCUGAGAGGAUGAUCCGCCACACUGGAACUGAGACACGGUCCAGACUCCUACGGGAGGCAGCAGUGGGGAAUUUUUGGACAAUGGGCGCAAGCCUGAUCCAGCCAUGCCGCGUGAGUGAAGAAGGCCUUCGGGUUGUAAAGCUCUUUCGGCCGGGAAGAAAUCGCAUGGGUUAAUACCCUGUGUGGAUGACGGUACCGGAAUAAGAAGCACCGGCUAACUACGUG
This 363-nucleotide ribosomal RNA is filed under the name uncultured bacterium. RNAcentral describes it as "bacterial SSU rRNA". It matches the Rfam family "Bacterial small subunit ribosomal RNA", at positions 153 to 507 of the family's 1533-position model. The record is from RNAcentral.